This 460-nucleotide ribosomal RNA is filed under the name uncultured bacterium. RNAcentral describes it as "partial 16S ribosomal RNA". It matches the Rfam family "Bacterial small subunit ribosomal RNA", at positions 338 to 795 of the family's 1533-position model. The record is from RNAcentral.
CCUACGGGAGGCAGCAGUGAGGAAUAUUGGUCAAUGGGCGCGAGACUGAACCAGCCAAGCAGCGUGAAGGAUGAAGGCCCUACGGGUUGUAAACUUCUUUUAUAAAGGAAUAAAGUGAGGCACGUGUGCCUUUUUGUGUGUACUUUAUGAAUAAGGAUCGGCUAACUCCGUGCCAGCAGCCGCGGUAAUACGGAGGAUCCGAGCGUUAUCCGGAUUUAUUGGGUUUAAAGGGAGCGUAGAUGGGUUGUUAAGUCAGUUGUGAAAGUUUGGGGCUCAACCGUAAAAUUGCAAUUGAUACUGGCAGUCUUGAGUACAAGUGAGGUAGGCGGAAUUCGUGGUGUAGCGGUGAAAUGCUUAGAUAUCGCGAAGAACUCCGAUUGCGAAGGCAGCUUGCUAAACUGACACUGACAUUGAGGCACGAAAGUGUGGGUAUCGAACAGGAUUAGAUACCCGAGUAGUC